Molecule: unclassified non-coding RNA, 314 nt
Filed under: plant metagenome
Description: partial contains 5.8S ribosomal RNA, internal transcribed spacer 2, and large subunit ribosomal RNA
Rfam family: 5.8S ribosomal RNA (bases 1-104)
Source: RNAcentral
AAAUGCGAUAAGUAAUGUGAAUUGCAGAAUUCAGUGAAUCAUCGAAUCUUUGAACGCACAUUGCGCCCCCUGGCAUUCCGGGGGGCAUGCCUGUCCGAGCGUCAUUGCUGCCCUUCAAGCCCGGCUUGUGUGUUGGGUCGUCGUCCCCUCCGGGGGACGGGCCCGAAAGGCAGCGGCGGCACCGCGUCCGGUCCUCGAGCGUAUGGGGCUUUGUCACCCGCUCGAUAAGGACCGGCCGGGCGCCAGCCGGCGUCUCCAACCUUUUUUUCUCAGGUUGACCUCGGAUCAGGUAGGGAUACCCGCUGAACUUAAGC